RNAcentral lists this ribosomal RNA (429 nucleotides) under Acidobacteriota bacterium. Its description in RNAcentral is "Acidobacteria bacterium partial 16S ribosomal RNA". It matches the Rfam family "Bacterial small subunit ribosomal RNA", at positions 355 to 776 of the family's 1533-position model. The record is from RNAcentral. Lineage: Bacteria; Pseudomonadati; Acidobacteriota.
UGGGGAAUUUUGGACAAUGGGGGAAACCCUGAUCCAGCCAUCCCGCGUGUGCGAUGAAGGCCUUCGGGUUGUAAAGCACUUUUGGCAGGAAAGAAACGUCAUGGGUUAAUACCCCGUGAAACUGACGGUACCUGCAGAAUAAGCACCGGCUAACUACGUGCCAGCAGCCGCGGUAAUACGUAGGGUGCAAGCGUUAAUCGGAAUUACUGGGCGUAAAGCGUGCGCAGGCGGUUCGGAAGGAAAGAUGUGAAAUCCCAGAGCUCAACUUUGGAACUGCAUUUUUAACUACCGGGCUAGAGUGUGUCAGAGGGAGGUGGAAUUCCGCGUGUAGCAGUGAAAUGCGUAGAUAUGCGGAGGAACACCGAUGGCGAAGGGAGCCUCCUGGGAUAACACUGACGCUCAUGCACGAAAGCGUGGGGAGCAAACAGG